Molecule: long non-coding RNA, 351 nt
Organism: Oxyura jamaicensis (ruddy duck)
Lineage: Eukaryota; Metazoa; Chordata; Aves; Anseriformes; Anatidae
Exons: 4
Source: RefSeq, a predicted model, not a curated record
UGGAUCUCUAAUACAAACUGUUAUUCAGUGUUUCUUGCGGUUUGGGUGGUAUUUUUUUGGUUUUGUAUUAAACAUUGUUAUUUUGGUUAUGUUAAGUAUAAAAAAAUCAGAAUUCCCACUGAAACUUAGGAUUGACAUUCUUUGUUUAGCCACUUUAAACUUUGAAGUGAGAUGAAGAAAAAGAAGGGUGGAACAUAAGCUAGGAAAAAGACAUAUUUUAAUGUAACCUUGCAUGGUAAAUGAAGGGAAGAGGAAUCUAAGACUUAGUUUUGGAAGGGUGAUUGUAGCUCUUUCUGAAGAUGCGUGAAGCCAUAGAAAAAAAUAAGGAAAAAAAAAAUGUAGAGAAUUUAA